This is an RNA transcript of Loxodonta africana (African savanna elephant), 15097 nucleotides long. RefSeq lists it as uncharacterized. The transcript is spliced from 5 exons. The record is from RefSeq and is a predicted model, not a curated record. Lineage: Eukaryota; Metazoa; Chordata; Mammalia; Proboscidea; Elephantidae.
AGCGCAGCGGGGGCCUGUGACUGUCACCUGGCGCCCUGCCCAGACGGGGCCUCUUCCCCAGCCCGUGACCCCCGCGAGGUGUUUUGGAAGGACAUGGAGGACCCCGCAGUGCCCACAUAGGCUUUCUGCGUAAAGGGCGCCCCUGGAGCCGGGAACGGAGAGGACCAUCGCCCUGAUCCUGCAAUGCUGGACAGAGGACUGAAGGGCGUUCCCAGACAGACCGGAUUCCUGAUUUUGAGGCUUGCGAGUUGGUACAGCAUAGAGAAUCAGAAGAUGGAAGGAGAACAACUCUGCAGAGAAGAUGCACCAAUGAGACCAUAGGUUCAAAAAUACUCAUUACAGCAGUAUUGUAGCUGAAAAACCAAUGAUAAAUCCAACUCUUCUUGUUGUUGUCGGGUGCCGUUGAGUUGGCUCCAACUCAGGACAACCUCAUGUAUAACAGAAUGAGAUGUUGCCCCAUCCUGCACCAUCCUCACACUAGUAGGUAUGCUUCCAGCUACCGUGUCAAUCCAUCAUGUUGAGGGGCUUCCUCUUUUUUGCUUUACCAAGCAGAUAUCCUUCUCCAGGGACUGGUCCCUCCUGAUAACAUGUCUGGACACCAAAGAAGAAUUGGCAGCUUUCCAUUACGGUAUUGGCGAAGAAGAAUAUUGAAUACACCAUGGACUGCCAGAAGAGCGAAUAGGUUUGUCUUGGAAGAAGUACAGCCAGAAUGCUCCUUAGAAGUGAGGAUGGUGAGACUUUGUCUCACGUACUUUGGGCAUAUUAUCAGGAGGGACCAGUCUCUGGAGAAAGACAUCAUGCUUGGAAAAGUAGACGGUCAGUGAAAAAGAGGAAGGGGAUUUACACAGUGACUGCAAUGAUGGGCUCAAACAUAGCAACAAUUGUGAGGAUGGCGCAGGACUGGGCAGUGUUUCACUCUAUUGUCCAUGGGGUCUCUGUGGGUUGGAACUGACUCGAUGACACCUAACAACAACAACUUGUCCAAAGUAAGCGAGCCAAUGUCUCACCGUCCAAAAGAAGCCCUAGCCAAGGCUGAAAGUGUUCGGAGAGAUGGUUUUCAUACCUCUUUGCAAGGUCGGGCUGUAAUUAUCAGGCUGUUGAUGGUCCGAAGUCAUCCCAGACCUGCCAGGGGAGGUCUUGGCCUUUUUAUGAAUAUGUGGCUCUUUGAUAGGGAUCAGGAAAUUUUUUCACAAAGGGCCAGAUGGUAAAUAUUUUAGGCUUUGCAAACCAUACGGUAUCUGUCACAACUACUCUCUGCUGUUACGUGGCAAAAGCAGCCACACACAAUAUGUUGCCGAAAUGGCGUGGCUGUGUGCUGAUAAAACUUUAUUGACAAAAACAGGCAAUGGGGGCCAGAUAACUCCAUGGGCUCUAGUUUGCUGAUCCCUGCUUUGUGUGUGUGAUUGACUUCAGGGUGGGCACCCUGAUAUAAAACAGACAGGAGGCUCAUCCCUGGCAUAAUGACCAGGGUGGUUAAUUAAAUGGUUUGCACUUAACUACUAACCUAGAGGUCGUUGGUUCACACUCACGCAGUGGUACCGCAGAAGAAAAGACCUGGCAAUCUGCCUCUGUAAAGAUUACAUCCUUGAAAACCUUAUGGGGCAGUUCUUCUCUGUCACAUGGGGUCGCUAGGAGUAAGAAUUGACUCAAGGGCACCUAACGACAACAUGAACCCAUGAAACUGUAUAUCGAGUUUUGUGUGUGUGUGUGUCAGGAAAAUGGACUCAGAGCCCCCACUGGAUGUCAAAGGUGUCUGCAGGCCCCAGGAAGAUUAAACUUGCUUAUGCGGAGGUCAGGAGUUUGGGCAGAAGCAAGGAACUGAGCUAGAGUUAUUUGGGACUGAAUCUCAGAUUGGGAAAAGGGGACAGGAUGUGUCAGCACCCCCAAGGGAGCUGAGGCCUUGGUGCUGACAGAGUAAUGAAAGCCAGCAAGUCUCAGAGGAAGGGAAGGACGGAAAUAGAAGUGCCGCCAGCCAUGAGGGCUACCAUGGGAAUGGGGCCGGAUGUUUCCAGGGAGACCCUUGGAAGAUUGACCGUGAAUUUGCAGAUUCCUAGGCUGUGGGCUACGGCUCCUCCAAAGACACCCACCAAGGGGACAAGACAAUGGUGGCCUGUUGAUGUAGCUUGGUCGAGUCAGCGUGGGAGAUGGAUGUCUGUCCUGGGUGGUCAGUGUCCUCGCACUGGUCAGAGCAGGCACAGAGUCAGUGUGGGAGAUGGACGUCUAUUCUUGGUGGUCAGUGUCCUCACAGUGGACAGAGCAGACACAGAGUCAGUGUGGGAGAUGGACGCCUGUCCUUGGUGGUCGGUGUCCUCACGCUGUACAGAGGAGCAGACACAGAGUCAGUGUGGGAGAUGGACACCUGUCCUUGGUGGUCAGUGUCCUCACAGUGGACAGAGCAGACACAGAGUCAGUGUGGGAGAUGGAUGUCUGUCCUUGGUGGUCGGUGUCCUCACACUGUACAGAGGAGCAGACACAGAGUCAGUGUGGGAGAUGGACACCUGUCCUUGGUGGUCAGUGUCCUCACAGUGGACAGAGGAGCAGACACAGAGUCAGUGUGGGAGAUGGACGUCUAUUCUUGGUGGUCAGUGUCCUCACAGUGGACAGAGCAGACACAGAGUCAGUGUGGGAGAUGGACACCUGUCCUUGGUGGUCAGUGUCCUCACAGUGGACAGAGCAGACACAGAGUCAGUGUGGGAGAUGGACGCCUGUCCUUGGUGGUCGGUGUCCUCACACUGUACAGAGGAGCAGACACAGAGUCAGUGUGGGAGAUGGACACCUGUCCUUGGUGGUCAGUGUCCUCACAGUGGACAGAGGAGCAGACACAGAGCCAGUGUGGGAGAUGGACGUCUGUCCUGGGUGGUCAGUGUCCUCACAGUGGACAGAGGAGCAGACACAGAGCCAGUGUGGGAGAUGGAUGUCUGUCCUGGGUGGUCAGUGUCCUCACAGUGAACAGAGGAGCAGACACAGAGUCAGUGUGGGAGAUGGACGUCUGUCCUGGGUGGUCAGUGUCCUCACAGUGGACAGAGGAGCAGACACAGAGUCAGUGUGGGAGAUGGACGUCUGUCCUUGGUGGUCAGUGUCCUCAUGCUGUACAGAGGAGCAGACACAGAGUCAGUGUGAGAGAUGGACGCCUGUCCUUGGUGGUCGGUGUCCUCAUGCUGUACAGAGGAGCAGACACAGAGUCAGUGUGGGAGAUGGACACCUGUCCUUGGUGGUCAGUGUCCUCACAGUGGACAGAGCAGACACAGAGUCAGUGUGGGAGAUGGACGCCUGUCCUUGGUGGUCGGUGUCCUCACACUGUACAGAGGAGCAGACACAGAGUCAGUGUGGGAGAUGGACACCUGUCGUUGGUGGUCAGUGUCCUCACAGUGGACAGAGGAGCAGACACAGAGUCAGUGUGGGAGAUGGACACCUGUCCUUGGUGGUCAGCGUCCUCACAGUGGACAGAGGAGCAGACACAGAGUCAGUGUGGGAGAUGGACGCCUGUCCUUGGUGGUCGGUGUCCUCACGCUGGACAGAGGAGCAGACACAGAGUCAGUGUGGAAGAUGGAUGUCUGUCCUUGGUGGUCGGUGUCCUCACGCUGUACAGAGGAGCAGACACAGAGUCAGUGUGGGAGAUGGACACCUGUCCUUGGUGGUCAGUGUCCUCACAGUGGACAGAGCAGACACAGAGUCAGUGUGGGAGAUGGAUGCCUGUCCUUGGUGGUCGGUGUCCUCACACUGUACAGAGGAGCAGACACAGAGUCAGUGUGGGAGAUGGACACCUGUCGUUGGUGGUCAGUGUCCUCACAGUGGACAGAGGAGCAGACACAGAGCCAGUGUGGGAGAUGGACGUCUGUCCUGGGUGGUCAGUGUCCUCACAGUGGACAGAGGAGCAGACACAGAGCCAGUGUGGGAGAUGGAUGUCUGUCCUGGGUGGUCAGUGUCCUCACAGUGGACAGAGGAGCAGACACAGAGUCAGUGUGGGAGAUGGACGCCUGUCCUUGGUGGUCGGUGUCCUCAUGCUGUACAGAGGAGCAGACACAGAGUCAGUGUGGGAGAUGGACACCUGUCCUUGGUGGUCAGUGUCCUCACAGUGGACAGAGGAGCAGACACAGAGUCAGUGUGGGAGAUGGACGCCUGUCCUUGGUGGUCGGUGUCCUCACACUGUACAGAGGAGCAGACACAGAGUCAGUGUGGGAGAUGGACGCCUGUCCUUGGUGGUCGGUGUCCUCACGCUGGACAGAGGAGCAGACACAGAGUCAGUGUGGAAGAUGGAUGUCUGUCCUUGGUGGUCGGUGUCCUCACGCUGUACAGAGGAGCAGACACAGAGUCAGUGUGGGAGAUGGACACCUGUCCUUGGUGGUCAGUGUCCUCACAGUGGACAGAGCAGACACAGAGUCAGUGUGGGAGAUGGAUGCCUGUCCUUGGUGGUCGGUGUCCUCACACUGUACAGAGGAGCAGACACAGAGUCAGUGUGGGAGAUGGACACCUGUCCUUGGUGGUCAGUGUCCUCACAGUGGACAGAGGAGCAGACACAGAGCCAGUGUGGGAGAUGGACGUCUGUCCUGGGUGGUCAGUGUCCUCACAGUGGACAGAGGAGCAGACACAGAGCCAGUGUGGGAGAUGGAUGUCUGUCCUGGGUGGUCAGUGUCCUCACAGUGGACAGAGGAGCAGACACAGAGUCAGUGUGGGAGAUGGACGCCUGUCCUUGGUGGUCGGUGUCCUCAUGCUGUACAGAGGAGCAGACACAGAGUCAGUGUGGGAGAUGGACACCUGUCCUUGGUGGUCAGUGUCCUCACAGUGGACAGAGCAGACACAGAGUCAGUGUGGGAGAUGGACGCCUGUCCUUGGUGGUCGGUGUCCUCACACUGUACAGAGGAGCAGACACAGAGUCAGUGUGGGAGAUGGACACCUGUCGUUGGUGGUCAGUGUCCUCACAGUGGACAGAGGAGCAGACACAGAGUCAGUGUGGGAGAUGGACACCUGUCCUUGGUGGUCAGCGUCCUCACAGUGGACAGAGGAGCAGACACAGAGUCAGUGUGGGAGAUGGACACCUGUCCUUGGUGGUCAGUGUCCUCACAGUGGACAGAGCAGACACAGAGUCAGUGUGGGAGAUGGACGCCUGUCCUUGGUGGUCGGUGUCCUCACAGUGGACAGAGGAGCAGACACAGAGUCAGUGUGGGAGAUGGACACCUGUCCUUGGUGGUCAGUGUCCUCACAGUGGACAGAGGAGCAGACACAGAGCCAGUGUGGGAGAUGGACGUCUGUCCUGGGUGGUCAGUGUCCUCACAGUGAACAGAGGAGCAGACACAGAGCCAGUGUGGGAGAUGGACGCCUGUCCUGGGUGGUCAGUGUACUCACACUGGUCAGAAGAGCACACAGAGGUGAUGUAUGGUAGCCCCCCUGCUAGGCCAGCCACCUCCUUACCCCUGGUGUUGUGGCAGAGCCCCUAUUUUGUCUGAGUGUCUACCCAGAAUGGGUACCCUGUCAGCCUCUGGGUUGAAAGCUGAUCCGUUGUAGUCAAUUGUGAAGAUGUUGACCCACGUGCAGAAAUGGGUUUUGAUACUCUAGGGACUUCCAAAGAGAUACAUUAGAGGACCUGUGAAUGGAACCUUAUUUGGUAAAAAGGUCUUUCUAGACAUGAUUAAGGGAAAUAUCUAAAGAUGAGAUCAUCCUGGAUUAAGAUGCACCCUGAACCCAACAACAAGUGUCCUUAGGCAUCAGAGGAGAAGUCCUGCAGUGAAGGAGGGGGUGAAGACGGAGGCAGAGAUUGGAGUGAUGAGACCUGCUAUGGAUGGAAUUGUGUCCCCCCCAAAAUGUGUGUUGGAGUCCUGUCUGCUGUACUUGUGGAUGUGACCCCUGCCCACACUGCACCUGCCAUCUGGUAGAUAGUCUGCGUUGGUUUGUGGAAGAUACCAUUUCAUAACGCAGGGUGCAGGGUGGUGAACGGUGACCCCAACAACAUGUGUUCACGUCCAGGAACCUGGAACCUGUGAAUGGAACGUCACUUGGUAAAAGGCUUGCCUUAGGCUGGGUUCUCUAGAGAAGCAAAAUCAGUGAUGUAUAUAUAUAUAGAGAGAGAGAGAGAGAGAUAUUUAUAUCAAGGAAACGGCUCAUGUGGCUAUAGAGACUGGAAAGUCCCAAGUCUGUGAGUCAGACAUCAGGCUGGAAGCUUCUCCUGACUCACAUAGCUGCAGGGGCUGGUGAACCCAAGAUAAGUUGCUAGAAGGUAAGCUGCUAGCUCAAGUCCCAAGAACUAGAGGUCAAAUGAGGAUGCAAAGCAAGCCAAAGCCAGCAAACUUUGCCAGAAAGUUCACACACAACGGAUGCAGGCAACACCCCCAAGGAAACUCCCUUUCAAAUGACUGGCUGUUCACAGCAGAUCUCAUCAUGGAGGUGAUUACAUUAUGUAAGAUCUCAUCAUAAAGAUGAUUACAUCAGCUCUCAUCAUGAAGAUGGUUACAUUAUAUCACAACUCAUCAUGGAGGUGAUUACAUUAUGUCUGGUCUCAUCAUGGAGGUGAUUACAUUGUAUCAGGUCUCAUCACGGAGGUGAUUGCAUCAUUACAUAACUGCCAACCUACAUCAUAACUGCCAAAUCCCUGAGAAUCAUGGCCCAGCCAAGUUGACACACAACCUUCACCAUCACAAGGGUGUUUGUAGAUGUGAUCAGGGUGAGCCUCUUAGCAGGAGAUGAUCCUGGAUCACUCUGUCUUAAGUCUUCUAGCGUUGCUAUAACAGAAAUACCACAAGUGGAUGGCUUUAACAAACAGAAAUGUAUUUUCUUACAGUUCAGGAGGCUAGAAUUCAGGUCGCUGGCUCUAGGCAAGGCUCUCUCUCUCUCUCUCUGUUGGCUCUGGAGGAAGGUCCUUGUUUCUUCUGCUUGUUUCCUGGUUCCUUGGUGGUCUUCAUGUGGCAUCUGUCUUCCCCAUCUCUGCUUGCUUAAUCUACUCCUUUUAUAUCUCGAAAGAGAUUGACUCAAGACACACCCUACACUAAUACUGCCUCCUUAACAUAACGAAGAAAACGUAAUCCCAAAUGGGAUUCUAACCACAAGUGUUGUUGUUGUUGUCAGGUGCCGCCGAGUCGGUUCCGACUCAUAGUGACCCUAUGUACAACAGAACGAAACACUGCCUGGUCCUGUGCCAUCCUUACAAUCGUCGUUAAACCACAGGUAUAGGGGUUAGGGUUUACAACAUAUAUUGAAUUGGGGGACACAAUUCAAUCCAUAACAGGCCCUAAAUCCAAUGACAGGUUCCCUUAUAAGGGGCACACAGAGGAGAAAGCCAUGUGAAGAUGGAGGCAGGAACUGGAGUGACGUGUCUACAAGCCCAGGACACCAAGAAUUGCCAGCCAACACCAGAAGCUGGGAGAGAGGCAUGGAAUAGAUUCUGUCUCUGAGCCUCAGAAGAAAUCAACACGCCUGACACCCUGAUCUCUCACUCCCAGUCUUCAGAACCCUGAGGGAAUAAAUUUCAUCUCAUUUGCUGUUAUGUGUUGAGUGUUGUUGAUAGGUGCCAUACAGUCAGAUCUGACUCAGAGCGACCCUCUGUACAACAGAACAAAACACUGCCCAUCCUGCGCCAUCCUCACAAUCCUUGUUAUGCUUGAGCCCAUUGUUGCAGCCCCUGUGUCAAUCCAUCUCAUUGAGGGUCUUCCUCUCUUUCCCUGACCCUCUACUUUACCAAGCAUGAUGUCCUUCUCCAGGGACUGGUCCCUCCUGAUAACAUGUCCAAAGUACAUGAGACGAAGCCUCACCGUCCUUGCUUCUAAGGAGUAUUCUGGUUGUACUUCUUCCAAGACAGAUUUUUCAUUCUGGCAGUCCACGGUAUAUUCAGUAUUCUUCGCCAACCUCACAAUUCAAAGGCAUCAACUCUUCUUUGGUCUUCCUUAUUCAUUGUCCAGCUUUUGCAUACAUAUGCAAAUAUGAGUUGAGUGGUAGUCCCCCAAAAAGAAAUGCUGUAACCCUUGCCCACACCUUGAUUUUAGAUUUCUGACCUCCAGAACUGUGAGAGCUUAAACCCCUGUGGUCUUAAACAACCUGGUUCGUGGUUUUUUGUUACAGCUGCCCCAGGAAGCUUAUGCUGCCGGGCUGUCAGAAUGCUGCUCUGGGUACCAUUUUAGCACUGUUUAUCUCACCCGUUUCUCACUGUCACCCCUCAUCUCCUACCCUCUCUGUUAAAUGCACAUCUUGUUAUCUUUAUCAUCAGAGACGGUGCUGCAAUGAUUCAGCCAGGUAUUAACACUUGAGCAGAAACUCACACCUUCCAGCCACGUCCAGCCUGGAGUGGCCAGGGGGCUGCCAGGACCUGCUCAGAGACCCCACUUCUCCCUGCUCCAUGGGCCUGAAGGGGCAACUGGGAGGCGAGGACCUGGGGACGCAGUGGAGACACAGGCUGUCUUGGCUUCCCCGGUUCUGCGUCUCCUCUGCCCUUCUUUGAUUGCCUGGAGGGUAGGCAGCCCCCUACCCUAGCAGAUCUGUGAUGCCUCAGCUGCUCCUUCAACCUGAGCAGCCCUGGGCAGACCCAGUGUUUACUGAGAAGCACUGGUGAGCCGGUAGAGGAAGCGCCCCGCCCUCCAACUAGCUCACCGCAGGGCUCUGUGAGCUGGGGGUGCUGUCCUCCCAGAGGCUGGUACCCACAAAACCAUGAGCAAAACAAGCGGGCGGGCACAAAAGGCUUGGGGAGAGGUCACUUUCCCAUAGGGCCGGGCACAAGGCUUGCUGCUGGCUCUCAAUUUCAUAAACAGUGCCAGGUUGUUAGAAAAAGAUAAUGGAGAACACCCAAACCAAAUCUGUUGCCAUGGAGUCAACUGCGGUUCAUGGAGACAGCACCUGUUACAGGGCACGAGGGCUCCACAGGGUUUUCUUGGCUAUGAUCUUUAGGGAAGCAGACCACCAAGUCUUUUCUUCCGUGGUGCCUGUCAUGAAUUGAGUUGUGUCCCCUCAAAAAUGUGUGUCAACUUGGCUAGGCUGUGAUUCCCAGUAUUAUGUGAUUGUCCACCAUUUUCUCGUCUGAUGUGACUUUCCUACGUGUCGUAAAUCCUAACCUCCGUGAUGUUAACGAGGCAGGACUAGAGGCGGUUAUAUUAAGGAAGCAAGACACAACCUACAGGAUUAGGUUGUAUCUUGAGUCAAUCUCUUUUGAAAUAUUAAAGACAGAAGCAAGCAGAGAGGAGAGAGACCUCCUACCACCAAGAAAGAAGAGCCAGGAGCAGAGCGCAUCCUUUGGACCCUGAGUCCUUGCACUGAGAAGCUCCUCUACCAGGGGCAGAUUGAUGACAAGGACCUUCCUCCACACCUGACAGAGACAGAAAGCCUUCCCCUGGAGCUGGUGCCCUGAAUUCAGACUUCUAGCCUCCAAGACUUAGACUGCGAGAGAAUAAACCUCUGUUUGUUAAGGUCACCGAGUUGUGGUGUUUCUGUUAGAUCAGCACCGGGUGACUAAGACAGCAGGUUGGAACCUCCAACCUUGAAGUUAGUGUUAUUGUUGUUGUUAGCUUCCAUUGAAUCUGUUCCAACUCACAGUGAACCCAUGGGUGGUGUGAUGAGUUGCUUUUACAACCCUUUUCUCACCAUGGACUUGUCCCUCCUACAAAGUGAUUUAUGGUCAGUUUUGUCAUCCUGCUAGGCUUAAAAAAGAGAGCUGAUUCCAAGAAAGAAGAAACGGGAAUGGAGCAUGUCUUUGAACCCAGGGUCCCUGCGCUGAGAACCUCCUCGACCCAGGAGACAGAGAAACAGAGAGAGAAAGAGAAAGAGCUGUAACACCGGAGAUGGGACAAGAUGGUGAGAAGUGGUGGCUGCAGAAUCAGGAGUCUGGCGGGACACAGUGCAGUGAGCUUCAUGGCCCACAGAGCAAGGGGUCUACAGUUGGUGUGCUGACCUAGGAAGUGAGAGAGCUGAGCGCCUUUGGACUGAGGCUUCCUGGCAGAGGGGGGUUUCCCCAGGCACUUGUUGGCAGAGCUAAAGAGUUUUGUAAUACUUGCCCAAGCAGGGCAGGGGCCGAGAGCCGAGAGGCUGAGGGCCAGGGAGAGGUCUGCCUGUGGGCAUGGCUGAGAAGCUGCCCUGAUGGAACAACUGUAUCCUGAGUCAUUCCUGAUCCUGAUUUGUAACCUUUUACUUCCCUAAUAAACCCCAUGGUCACGAGUAUUGUCUGUGUGGCCACUGUGUGGCUGUUGCAACAGGGUAUCCAACCCAACAGAGAAGUAGAGAGUGCUGUGGGAAGGAUGGCUGGUGUCAGAACUGGUAAAAAAUUGGAAGGUGGAGGUAUGUUUGACCUCUGCUUCAUAGGAAACAGCUUUGGGUUGAAAUUGAUGGUGAUUCUCUCUUUCCUCGUGAAGUUAGAGGAGCUCAGAUGCCUUGGUGCUGCCAUGUUCAUGCCAUGCAUUACAGUGUACAACUGUGCUCUGUGGGGUCUUCUUGGCUGUGAUCUUUAUGGAAGCAGAUUGCCAGGCCUUCCUUCCAUGGAGCUGCCGGGGGGUUCGAACCACCAACCUUUGGUUAGAAGCUAAGCACAGUCUUUGGUUUGUGCCACCCAGGGACCUAUGGAAAAGCUUGUACCCGUUCACUGCAACUUGCUGUGUAAAUAUGCUGUGAUUGUUUUCUCCCAUUUGUUAAAAUCAACCAACAAGAAAGAUGAUACACAAAUAUUCAUUGCAGCACUAUUCACAGUAGCCAAAGAGUGGAAACAACCCAAGUGUCCAUCCACAGAUGAAUGGAUAAACACAAUGUGGUCCAUCUGUACAAUGGAGCAUCACUCAGCUAUGAAGGGAAAUGAAGUCCUGAUGCAAGCCAUGAUGCGGCUAAACCUUGAAAACUUCACACUGAGAGAGUAAGCAGACACAAAGGACAAAUACCCUAUGGUCCCACUUUUAUAAAAUACCCAGAAUAGGCAAAUGCAUUAGACAUCAAAGUUUAUUAGUGGUUACCAGGGGAUGGGGGGUGGGGAUGGGGAAAUGAGGAGCUAUUACUUAAAAGGCACUGAAGUUCUGUUUGGGGUGAUGGAAAGUGCUGGAAAUAGAUAGCAGUGAUAGUUGUGCAACACUGGAAAUACAUUAAAUGUCUGACGGUGAAUUUUAUGGGUUUUCUCUUAGUCAUCUAGUGUGGUUAUAACAGAAAUACCACAACUGGGUGGCUUUAACAAACAGAAAAUUUAUUCUCUCACAGUCUGGGAGGCUAUAGGUCUGAAUUCAGGGCGCGGGCCCUAGGGGAAGGCUUUCUGUCUCUGUUGGCCCUGGAGGAAGGUCCUUGUCUCUUUGAGCUUCUGAUCCUGGGCAGAUCUUCAUGUGGCUUGGCAUCGGCUCUUCCUGUAUCUCUGCUGGCUUAAUCUGUUCUUUUUAUUUCUUGAAAAGGACUAAAUGAAGACACAUCCUACGCUAAAUCUGCCUCAUUAACAUAACGAAGACAACCCGUUCCUGAAUAGGAUGAUAACCACAGGCACAGAAGUUAGGAUUUAUAAGGCAUACUUUUCAGAGGCCCAAUUCAACCCGUAACACUCCACCCUUCAGCCCUCAGAAAAUCAUGUCCUUCUCACAUGCAAAGCAUGUUUACCCCAUCACAUCAUCCCAAAAGUCUUAAAUCAACUUCAAACCCAAAAUCUCAUUUUCUGAAUCACCUAAAUCGAAUACGGGUGAGACAUUAGGUGUAUUCCACCUGGGGGUAAAAUUGCUCUUCAUCUGUGAACCUGUGAAAUCUAGAAUACAAGUUAUCCGUUUCCAAAAUACAGUGAUAGAACAGGCACAAGGCAGACAUUUCCAUUACAAAUGGGAGAAAUUGGAGGGAAAGAAGGGAUAAUGGGCAUCAAGCAAGUGCAAAACCCAGCAGAACAAUUUACAAUAGCUCUCAAGGCUUGGAAAUAAUCCUCUGUUCUCUGAGACCAUCUGGGCAAUGGUCCUGUCCUCCAGACUCUGGGUGCUGGCCACACCCUUUGGAUUCUGGGUGGAGGUCCCUCUGCCCUGGGCUUCAGGUCUGCCUUCCAGGUCCACUAGGAUGGCAACUCUGCUCCCUUUGCUUCAGGUGGUCCCAUUCUCCUAGUCCAUCUGAGUGGCAACUCCAAACUCUCGGCCCCAGCAGGCCCCAUUCUUCUGCCUCUUGGGCAUGGCAGCCCCUCCUUCUGAGCUUUGGGCAGUGGCCCCAUCCUUCAGGCACUUGUGAAUGUCAGCCCUCACUCCGGUACUGAAUUGGUGAAGAUCUUCCUCUUUAAAACCUAGGAAGUCGUGGCCGCGCCCUUUGAGAUCCAGAAGACCGUGGCCCCACCCUUUGAAACUGAGAAGGCCCUGCUUCCUGAGCUCCUUCCAACAGUUCUGCUAAUCUCUGAGCUGCUCCAGGGGUGGCUCUUUGCUUUUCUGGGGGGCCUUUUUCCUGCCUGUAGAAUUCCAAGAGGCAGACAGCUUUCUUCCUUUUCUCUCUUUCUCUGUCCCUGUCAGUCUAAGUUGAUGGGUUUUUCUGCUGUGGUAGUUGGUUAGAUCCAUCAGUCACAGGCUUAAUCUGUUUAACAAAAUAUUGUGUAGCCACAUCCUUGGUGACCAUUCUAGGACAGGUGUCCUUAGUUUGUACAACAGAAUUUUCCAAAUCUUUAAGUUUUGUUUCCAUUUUGUACAGUUCAUUUUUAAGUCUGUCUCUUUCCUGUUGCAUUUUACAAUACACACAAAGAAGAAACCAUGUGGCUCCUUUAAGAUCUUGCUUAGAGAUCUCCUAAGCUAAGUCCAUCACUUACAAGUUCUGCCUUCCACCAAACAUUUGAACAUAAUUACGACAAGCUCUUUGCCGCUGCAUAAGAAGCAUCGCCCUUCCUCCACCGUCCAAUCACAUGUUCCUCAUUUUCUUUUAAAACUUCACCAGAAGAGCACUGAACAUCCACAUUUCUAGCAACAUUCUUUAGCUGGCACCAUAUGUAUUCUCUAAGUUGAUGGAGACCUUCUCUAUAGCUCUCUUCACUUCCUCGUGAGUCCUCACCAGAAUUGCCUUCAAUGUCCAUAAUUCUACCAAUGGUUUCUUCAAGGUAAACUAGGCUUUUACUAUUAGUCCCCUUAACACCCUUCUAACCUCUACCCAUUACCCAAUUCCAAAACCGUGUCCACAUUUUAUGUAUCUGUUAGAGCAGCACCCCACUCCCAGUACUAAAUUCUGUCUUAGUUAUAAAGUGCUACUGUAACAGAAUUACCACAGUGGGUGGCUUUUACAAACAGAAGUUUAUUUUCUUACAGUUUAGAAGGCUAAAUUCAGGGCACUGGCUCUAGGGGAAGGCUUUCUGUCUGCUGGCUCUGAGGGAAGGUCCUUGUCUCUUCAGCUUCUGCUUCCUCGUUCCUUGGAGAUCUCCAUGUGUCUAUCUUACCCCAUCUCUGCUUCUCUCACUUACUUGUCUAAUCUCUUUUUAUAUCUCAAAAGAGAUAGACUCCAGAUAUGCCCUACACUAAUCAUGCCUCAUUAACAUAACGAAGACAACCCUCUCCCAAAUGGGAUUAUAACUGGAGGCAUAGGGAUUAGGAUUUCCAACACAUAUUUCUUGGGGGCAUAAUUUAAUCCAUAAUACGUAUUAUGCCACAAUUUUUUUUAAAAGUCAUAAAAAGAAAGGAGGGAGAAGAAGACUAGUGUUAUGACUUUGUGUCUCCAAUCACCACAUGUGGACAUCGUAACCCCUAUACCUGUAAAUACGAUCCUGCUUAGUCAUAGGAAUUUUGUUUUGUUAUAUUAGUGAGGUCAUACUGGAGUAGGGUGGGUCCUAAACCUUAUCCCUUCUGAGUGGCCAGAGAAGCCUGGAAGCCCAAAAAACCAAGCCAGUUGCCAUCAAGUAGACCCCGACUCAUGGCACCCCCACAUUUGCCACAUUUGCUCCAUAGGGUUUGCAGUGCCUGAUUUUUUUGAAGCAAAUUGCCAGGACUUUCUUCCGAGAUGCGCCUGGGUGGACUUGAACUGCCAACCUUUCAAUUAGCAGCUGAGCACUUAACCACUUGAGCCACCUAGGGACUCCCUGGAGAACCCACCAAACCCUUUUUCCUUUGCCCAAGACCCACACCAGCAGGCUCCUCGAAGCGGCUGAGAUUCCUGCUGCAAGACCCCGAUCUCAAUCAUGGACAGAGAUUCCUGGUGGCUUCCAAGGCCCCGUGGGGCUCCUCCCAGGGGUGUUCAUCUGGACCAGUGGUCCUGUUUGGUCCUUUCAGUCUUCUGGAAGAGUCUCUGCCCUUCCUGGGGUCUUCUGGUGGCCGGGUUCGGUGUGACAAGAGCCGACACGUUUGCUGCCCAGAUGGGGAAACUGAGGCCCUGAAGGCAACUUCUUGGGGGCUGCAGCACCAGUGAGAGACCCCCACCUUGAGCCCCCAGUGCCCUGCCCCUGCUCAGCCUCCCAGUCUCCUCGUGGAGGACCAGUCCACUUCGGGAGAUUCCCCACACCUGAUUCUACCUCACAGCAGGUGGAGAGCAGAGAAAGCACCUUCUACUUUAGGAAUCUCAAGUUGUCAAUCCAGCUUCAACUCAUGACAACUCCAUGUGUGUCAGAAUAGAACUGGGAUCCAGGAGGUUUUCAAGACUGUUACCUUUCAGAAGCAGAUUGCCCGGUCUUUCUUCUGAGCUGCCUCUGGGUGGAUUUCAACCCACAAGUUUCUGGCAUCGAGCAACCACAGAGACGAGACUGGCACCCUAUGGAUUCCCGUAGAUAAUCUGGAUGGCGCAAAGGGUGAAGUGCUCAACUACUAGACAGAAGGGAUAUUGUUGAGAGAUUACGGAGAAAGCACCGGAGGGUGCAAACCCUCAAUCCGUUUUUAGAAAGCACAAACAAAUCCUGUGGAUGGUAGAGUCUGUCUUUGACCACAGAGAGGAGGAUCCCCAGAAAGAAAACAGGCCGGAGCGCCAGGAAAGCUCGUGAUUCUUUCUGCCAUUGCGUGACAGGCUGUGGAGGUAAGAGGAAGUGGGAGAUGACAUAGCCCUAAACUCAGCGAGCUGCAACCGCAGCCUCCACCUGGAUUCCGAGAGCUGGGGACAAGCUUCAGAGACCCGCUGGACCCUCCAGGGCUCCACCGUCUUAGGGAACCUGGUGAGAGGGUCCGUGCUUCCUGCUGCAGGAGUUGCAAUGAGCAACCAAGUCCCUCCUCACUCCUGCUCCCCAGCUAGGCGUAGGGGACAA